This 877-nucleotide ribosomal RNA is filed under the name Amorocoelophoma neoregeliae. RNAcentral describes it as "partial large subunit ribosomal RNA". It matches the Rfam family "Eukaryotic large subunit ribosomal RNA", at positions 62 to 956 of the family's 3401-position model. Lineage: Eukaryota; Fungi; Ascomycota; Dothideomycetes; Pleosporales; Amorosiaceae. The record is from RNAcentral.
AAACCAACAGGGAUUGCCCUAGUAACGGCGAGUGAAGCGGCAACAGCUCAAAUUUGAAAUCUGGCUCUCUUGAGGGUCCGAGUUGUAAUUUGUAGAGGGUGCUUUGGCGUUGGCUGUGGUCUAAGUUCCUUGGAACAGGACGUCGCAGAGGGUGAGAAUCCCGUAUGUGGCCGCCAGUCUUCGCCGUGUAAAGCCCCUUCGACGAGUCGAGUUGUUUGGGAAUGCAGCUCUAAAUGGGAGGUAAAUUUCUUCUAAAGCUAAAUAUUGGCCAGAGACCGAUAGCGCACAAGUAGAGUGAUCGAAAGAUGAAAAGCACUUUGGAAAGAGAGUCAAAAAGCACGUGAAAUUGUUGAAAGGGAAGCGCUUGCAGCCAGACUUGCUUGUAGUUGCUUAGCUAGGCUUUUGCCUGGUGUACUCUUCUGCACGCAGGCCAGCAUCAGUCCGGGCGGUUGGAUAAAGGCCUAUUAAACGUACCUCUCCUCGGGGAGGACUUAUAGGGUAGGUGCCAUGCAACCAGCCUGGAUUGAGGUCCGCGCAUCUGCUAGGAUGCUGGCGUAAUGGCUGUAAGCGGCCCGUCUUGAAACACGGACCAAGGAGUCUAACAUCUAUGCGAGUGUUUGGGUGUCAAGCCCGAGCGCGUAAUGAAAGUGAACGGAGGUGGGAACCUUUCGGGGUGCACCAUCGACCGAUCCUGAUGUCUUCGGAUGGAUUUGAGUAAGAGCAUAGCUGUUGGGACCCGAAAGAUGGUGAACUAUGCCUGAAUAGGGUGAAGCCAGAGGAAACUCUGGUGGAGGCUCGCAGCGGUUCUGACGUGCAAAUCGAUCGUCAAAUUUGGGCAUAGGGGCGAAAGACUAAUCGAACUAUCUAGUAGCUGGUU